This 87-nucleotide transfer RNA is filed under the name Spirochaetes bacterium GWB1_27_13. RNAcentral describes it as "tRNA-Ser". It matches the Rfam family "tRNA". From Rfam's summary of the family: Transfer RNA (tRNA) molecules are approximately 80 nucleotides in length. Their secondary structure includes four short double-helical elements and three loops (D, anti-codon, and T loops). RNAcentral also lists the same sequence under 2 other names. Lineage: Bacteria; Pseudomonadati; Spirochaetota. The record is from RNAcentral.
GGAAAGUUGUCUGAGUGGUUGAAGGAGCACGAUUGGAAAUCGUGUGUAUGUUAACGCAUACCGGGGGUUCGAAUCCCCCACUUUCCG